GGAAAGUAAAGGGGUUUGGGUCUCAACUUUCAUAAAUGAUCUUUUUCUCUUUUUUCCUGACAUAGAGAAAAAGAAUGCACAAAAAAACCUUGAACUUUCUGCCUUCCUUUCAACGCCAGACCCCAACAGAAAUCAUCAUGUCUUCUCCCUCAUCUUCUCAUCUUCUCCAUCGCCAUCAUUAUACUCGCACCUUCCCUUCUCUCACCAACUCCAUAACCCACAAACCCUCAUCAUUAAUUCCCCCAAGAAAAACCAGCAGAAGAAAAAGAAGAAGAAAGAAAAAAGAAAUCUCAGAAGAAACAGCAGCAAUUCUUCCCUUUGUCUAGGUUUUUGAUGAUGAGAAGCUCGACGCCCAUGGUGUAUCUGUUAUCUUCUUGUCUUUCUUGUUCUUGAAACCAGGACUCUUUGUGCUUGUGUAAAAGACAAUAGAUCUUGAAUCUUUUAAGUGUGAAAUGAAUUAUCAACCAUGGGUUGACUCUCUUUUUUCUUUUCUGAAUAUUAAUUAUAUGGUUUUCUCAAGCA
Long non-coding RNA from Manihot esculenta (cassava), 522 nucleotides. RefSeq lists it as uncharacterized. The transcript is spliced from 2 exons. The record is from RefSeq and is a predicted model, not a curated record. NCBI's taxonomy places the organism in Eukaryota, Viridiplantae, Streptophyta, Magnoliopsida, Malpighiales, Euphorbiaceae.